CUCACCCAUUCCCACCUCUGCUGCAAGUUUCACCCCAACACAUUAUAAGAGACAAGCAACAUUCACCACCAAUCCAAGGUCCAGGCGGGAAGUGAUAGCUAAAGAGGGAAGUAACUCUACGCUCGUUGUGGGAACGAAUAAGGUUGAGCAGGUGAUGGAAUGGAGUGGAGUUGAGCGGAUGUACCUUUUGACAUAAAAUAAUAAUGUAACCUUGAGUAUACAUCUUCAUAUGUAUAACUCACACGUAUUUCCGCUGCAAGAUACUCUGAUUAUGCUAAUGUUUUAUAUUAAGUAUGAUACUCUUUUGUUGGGUAAUCCACUUCGACGAGCCUUCCCAAACGAACGUCUUGUUUUUGUCCAAGUGAUCAGUUAUGAUCCUAGUGUUAUAUAAUAAAUGUCUCUUUUCGUAAAAUGUUUGAUUGUUAAGUAAAUGCCCCUUUCUUUCCCCGCUUCU
Long non-coding RNA from Salvia miltiorrhiza (redroot sage), 454 nucleotides. RefSeq lists it as uncharacterized. The transcript has 4 exons. The record is from RefSeq and is a predicted model, not a curated record. Lineage: Eukaryota; Viridiplantae; Streptophyta; Magnoliopsida; Lamiales; Lamiaceae.